CCGGUAUGCAUGUGGCAUUUCCAUUGUAGAAUGUGUACAGUGUGGUGGUACCUGCCUCUGUGUGUAUUAUUCAUGAAUGAAUAACAAAUAAAAACCAGAGCAAAGAGGUGGGACACACACACACACACACACACACACACACACACACACAAAAAUCACCAGUAGAUAUUAAGAGAUUAUGGUACGCACUAAAUUCUAAACCUAUGGGAACGCUCAAAACGUUUUGUCCAAUCGGAAAGCCAGAAUGUCCUGAGUCAACAACCAAUAGGAUGGUCGAUAUGAUGUGUGCUAAAUGCGCCAUUUUAGCGCGUCUCCAGCCAUCCGGUAUGAUGGCGACUUUGCUUUGUCUCCGGUGAACAGGGUUGCUUCAAUACUUUCUCUAUAUAUAUGUUUUUUUUCUUUCCUAAAAUACAAACUACUGGGAAUUAACAUUGUUUUUUAUUUUUAUCUCCGGGACGACGUGCCAAGAACUACACGUGUCUUCAGUCGUUGAAGAAAUGCCGACAGAGUACAGAAGGUAAAAUGAGUAAGGCCUCAGCUGAAUCUACAGACCAGGUGAUGGAGGAGGAAGUAGGUCAACUUCCAAUUACAGACCAGAAGGAGGAGGAGGAAGUAGAUCAACUUCCGAUUACAGACCAGAUGGAGGAGGAUGCUGGGAGCUCAACAGAGACUGAGACACCCUCUUCUUCUCACACCAAGAGGAAGCCUGCUGUCGCAGCCAAGCAAGUUGGAGGUAAUGAGUCGGACACCUCGGACGAGAGUGGACAGGAAGAUGGCGCCUCAGAUGGUAAGGUCUGGGGCCACUAGACCUGGGGCCAGCAUGCGUUUUAGUGCUUCUUAAUAUCAUUGUGGAGCCAAAAGGUGCAUUUCCACACUUUGUGGAUAAUGUUU
This 891-nucleotide long non-coding RNA is filed under the name Salmo trutta (river trout). Its description in RNAcentral is "lncRNA (ENSSTUG00000033734.1)". Lineage: Eukaryota; Metazoa; Chordata; Actinopteri; Salmoniformes; Salmonidae. The record is from RNAcentral.